Molecule: ribosomal RNA, 497 nt
Filed under: uncultured bacterium
Lineage: Bacteria
Description: partial 16S ribosomal RNA
Rfam family: Bacterial small subunit ribosomal RNA
Source: RNAcentral
GAUGAACGCUGGCGGCGUGCCUAAUACAUGCAAGUUGAGCGCUGAAGGUUGGUGCUUGUACCAACUGGAUGAGCAGCGAACGGGUGAGUAACGCGUGGGGAAUCUGCUUUUGAGCGGGGGACAACAUCUGGAAACGAAUGCUAAUACCGCCUAAAAACUUUAAACACAAGCUUUAAGUUUGAAAGAUGCCAUUGCAUCACUCAAAGAUGAUCCCGCGUUGUAUUAGCUAGUUGGUGAGGGCAAGGCUCACCAAGGCGAUGCUACAUAGCCGACCUGAGAGGGUGCUCGGCCACAUUGGGACUGGGACACGGCCCAAACUCCUACGGGAGGCAGCAGUAGGGGAUCUUCGGCAAUGGACGAAAGUCUGACCGAGCAACGCCGCGGGAGGGAAGAAGGGUUUCGGGUCGUGAAACUCUGUUGGUAGAGAAGAACUUUGGUGAGAGUGGAAAGCUCAUGAAGUGACGGUAACUACCCAGAAAGGGACGGCUAACUACGUG